Corynebacterium mustelae is the source of this 428-nucleotide non-coding RNA. It matches the Rfam family "Bacterial RNase P class A". From Rfam's summary of the family: Ribonuclease P (RNase P) is a ubiquitous endoribonuclease, found in archaea, bacteria and eukarya as well as chloroplasts and mitochondria. Its best characterised activity is the generation of mature 5'-ends of tRNAs by cleaving the 5'-leader elements of precursor-tRNAs. The record is from Rfam. NCBI's taxonomy places the organism in Bacteria, Bacillati, Actinomycetota, Actinomycetes, Mycobacteriales, Corynebacteriaceae.
UGAGCCGACUGGGCGAUCGCGGCCUGCUGUGCGAACUGCCUUUUCACCCCUUCGGGUGUUAACGGCAAGCGUCAGGUCGAGGAAAGUCCGGACUCCACAGAGCAGGGUGGUUGCUAACGGCAACCCGGGGCAACCCGCGGGCACGUGCAACAGAAAGCAAACCGCCUAGGAAACUAGGUAAGGGUGAAACGGUGCGGUAAGAGCGCACCAGCACGUUAGGCGACUAACGUGGCUGGGUAAACCCCACCUGGAGCAAGGCAAGAAGGCUGCACUGGUACUCGUGCUGGUGUGGCUGCGCAAACGUUUGAGGGCGGCUCGUCUGAAGUUUGUGGGUAGCUGCUUGAGGCGGGUUAGCAAUAACCCGUCCAGAUGGAUGAUCGCCACCGGGAAACCCGGUACAGAAUCCGGCUUACAGGUUGGCUCAUUCG